GAUGAACGCUGGCGGCGUGCCUAAUACAUGCAAGUAGAACGCUGAAGGAGGAGCUUGCUCUUCUGGAUGAGUUGCGAACGGGUGAGUAACGCGUAGGUAACCUGCCUGGUAGCGGGGGAUAACUAUUGGAAACGAUAGCUAAUACCGCAUGACAACAGUUAUUGCAUGAUAACUGUUUAAAAGGGGCAACUGCUCCACUACCAGAUGGACCUGCGUUGUAUUAGCUAGUUGGUGAGGUAACGGCUCACCAAGGCGACGAUACAUAGCCGACCUGAGAGGGUGAUCGGCCACACUGGGCUGAGACACGGCCCAGACUCCUACGGGAGGCAGCAGUAGGGAAUCUUCGGCAAUGGACGGAAGUCUGACCGAGCAACGCCGCGUGAGUGAAGAAGGUUUUCGGAUCGUAAAGCUCUGUUGUAAGAGAAGAACGAGUGUGAGAGUGGAAAGUUCACACUGUGACGGUAUCUUACCAGAAAGGGACGGCUAACUACGUG
RNAcentral lists this ribosomal RNA (494 nucleotides) under uncultured bacterium. RNAcentral's name for it is "partial 16S ribosomal RNA". It matches the Rfam family "Bacterial small subunit ribosomal RNA", at positions 28 to 507 of the family's 1533-position model. The record is from RNAcentral.